This 400-nucleotide ribosomal RNA is filed under the name uncultured bacterium. Its description in RNAcentral is "bacterial SSU rRNA". It matches the Rfam family "Bacterial small subunit ribosomal RNA", at positions 355 to 747 of the family's 1533-position model. The record is from RNAcentral.
UGGGGAAUAUUGGACAAUGGGCGCAAGCCUGAUCCAGCCAUGCCGCGUGUGUGAAGAAGGUCUUAGGAUUGUAAAGCACUUUAAGUUGGGAGGAAGGGCUUCAAGUUAAUACCUUGGAGUUUUGACGUUACCGACAGAAUAAGCACCGGCUAACUUCGUGCCAGCAGCCGCGGUAAUACGAAGGGUGCAAGCGUUAAUCGGAAUUACUGGGCGUAAAGCGCGCGUAGGUGGUUUUGUAAGUUGGAAGUGAAAGCCCCGGGCUCAACCUGGGAACUGCUUUCAAAACUGCAAAGCUAGAGUAUGGCAGAGGGUGGUGGAAUUUCCUGUGUAGCGGUGAAAUGCGUAGAUAUAGGAAGGAACACCAGUGGCGAAGGCGACCACCUGGGCUACUACUGACACU